UUGAACGCUGGCGGCAUGCCUUACACAUGCAAGUCGAACGGUAACAGGUUAAGCUGACGAGUGGCGAACGGGUGAGUAAUGUAUCGGAACGUGCCCAGUCGUGGGGGAUAACUGCUCGAAAGAGCAGCUAAUACCGCAUACGACCUGACGGUGAAAGCGGGGGAUCGCAAGACCUCGCGCGAUUGGAGCGGCCGAUAUCAGAUUAGGUAGUUGGUGAGGUAAAGGCUCACCAAGCCGACGAUCUGUAGCUGGUCUGAGAGGACGACCAGCCACACUGGGACUGAGACACGGCCCAGACUCCUACGGGAGGCAGCAGUGGGGAAUUUUGGACAAUGGGCGCAAGCCUGAUCCAGCCAUGCCGCGUGCGGGAAGAAGGCCUUCGGGUUGUAAACCGCUUUUGUCAGGGAAGAAAAGGUUCUGGCUAAUACCUGGGACUCAUGACGGUACCUGAAGAAUAAGCACCGGCUAACUACGUG
RNAcentral lists this ribosomal RNA (476 nucleotides) under uncultured bacterium. RNAcentral describes it as "partial 16S ribosomal RNA". It matches the Rfam family "Bacterial small subunit ribosomal RNA", at positions 30 to 507 of the family's 1533-position model. The record is from RNAcentral.